ACCAAACGACGUGAAUAAACUCCGUCAGCGUAUAACCUAUCUUAGAAAUGUGAAGAAAAAUAAGAAAAACCUUAUACAUUUAGUAGACCAAAGUGAUUCAGAGUAUGAGUUGCUACCUCUGACUUGGACCGUUCCAAACUCAGACGGUCACGUGAUACAAAGGGGAAAAAAGAAAAAAAAAACCUUGGCAACGUCAGGCGUGUAGGCUGCGUCCAAAACGCGCAUACUAGCGUACUAAGUAUGUAGAAUAGCCCGCGUGGUUAAGCCCAGCCUCAAAAUUCUCAGAACUAAUUUACUAUUCUGUUCCAUUCGCUGCGUGUUAAAACCUCCCCAGUGCUCCUACACACACUACAGUGCACAGGGAGCUCCUUCACCAGGACCGAGCUGCUGCUUUAUGUCGCUCUCACUAUACUUACUUUCCGGAACAUUAGACAGUAUAGAUUUUUAAAAAAAAAACUGCACUUUUAAUUUAAUUUUUUUGUUUUAUUUUUUUUCUCACAUCUUGGAUUUAAUGAUACUCGAUCCGUGUGGUGUCUCUGCCUGCUUUUGUCCUUUUGUCCGAGUUGUAUGUGUCAGAAACGUGCAUGUUGAUGGUGGAAGCGAUGUUAAGUGGCUGCAUGGACAUGUUGAAGAAACACAGGUCAAUAAUUACAGGUGGGACUCCAUGCUGUGCAGGAGAAAGUGGCCUAACUGUCCAAACUAAACACACUGUCCUGUGGGGUAAAUGGCAAUCGUGUUUUAUUGGUAACACUGCUAAAGCAGUUACACUACAGACAGAUUCAGUUCACAUAGGGGUCCUAAAUAAUAAUAAUAAUAAUAAUAAUAAUAAUAAUAAUAAUAAUAAUAUUGUGUAAUAAUGUUGUUAAUAUGGUAUUAAAUGUACACAACUCGUACAUUUUAACUGAGAUGGAUGAGAUUAGUGUUCCUUGAGCUAAUUAUUGUUUUUCAAGAAAAGAUUUAGUUUGUUAUUGUCGGCCACAUUCUACAUGCAUCACUGUCACUGAACUGGAAUGAUACCAUGAAUGUUAAGGAACAAAAUGUUCUAGAUAAACCUGGCUCAGCCUUUAACCCACAAUAGAGCGUGUUUAGCUCGGCAACCAAGUUGGGUGAGAUUCUGCCACACAACAGCAAGUUCACCUGCUCUAUUUGUUUUUUUGUAUCAGAAAUGUCUUACCUAUGCAGGCAAAUUUAAAUCUAUUGCCUAAUGAAUGUAUUAGAUCUAAGCUGACUGCAAGUUUGAUUAGAAUAUUUAGCUCUUUUUAGUUUGAAGAGUCUGUGGGAAAAGAGCACACCAUUCACCCACAUGCUUUCACAGCACAGCCAGCGUGUGCUGUUUGGGCAGGUUUGCAUAUUUUUCAACCUGAGACCUGUUGCUGACAUGGCAGAGCAGCGCCGCCUGAUACGAACAGUGUCAUUAUUGCCUGUAGGUUUGCACAUGUUUGUGUAUGCAUGUACCUUGUAGUGCUACAGGUCACAUUCAUGUAAUGUUCAGUCUGUGAAUAAUUUACAAAACAGUCUUUUUACAUUUGCAGUACUGAAUAGGACCUUGACCACUGACGGCUUAUUUCCCCAAAUGUCCCAAACUGCAGUGUGUUUAUGUACUUCUGUGUUUUGUACUUGUUUGCAUAGCAUCGAAUGUAAAUUUUUUUAUUAUCGUUCUGCAAAUAUAACUUGUCCAAAUCCAAUAAAAAAAUGUUUGUCAGUAA
Tachysurus fulvidraco (yellow catfish) is the source of this 1706-nucleotide long non-coding RNA. RefSeq lists it as uncharacterized. NCBI's taxonomy places the organism in Eukaryota, Metazoa, Chordata, Actinopteri, Siluriformes, Bagridae. The record is from RefSeq and is a predicted model, not a curated record. The transcript has 2 exons.